This 599-nucleotide long non-coding RNA is filed under the name Hordeum vulgare. Its description in RNAcentral is "long non-coding RNA (HVUL_LNC019404)". The record is from RNAcentral. Lineage: Eukaryota; Viridiplantae; Streptophyta; Magnoliopsida; Poales; Poaceae.
UCCUUUCGUUCUUUCCUCUCCUCUGUCAAAUCAUACACACAUACAUACAGUACAUACUAUCACAUCACAAAAGCAGAGAAGAAAAGGAAGAGGCAGACGACAUGCUUGCUAGAAGCUUGAAGGUGAGAUUCAUGGUUCUCCGUUAGCCUCUAAUUUGGCCGUUACGGUACAUGUCAGGGAGCUUUCUUCUUCCUCCUCCCCAUAACUCUAGGGCUUGAUUUGGCAAUCGCGAUACAAAUUAAGGUGUUGGUUUUAUCUUUUCAAAGUUUUACUUUUGAUUCGAACAUCACGGUACAAAUCAAGGUUCUUGUUUCAUCUAUUCCUAAUUUUUCGUCCUUGAUUCGACCAUCAUGGUACAAACCAAGAAACGUGUCACAUCGAUCCAUCGUAAAUAUCUUUGAUUCGGCCAUCGCAGUACGAGCCAAGGAAAAUGCAUGGUUUUUUAUAUCUUGCAUAUACUCCGUCCUAAUGAUCUUUUGGGUUCAGUCCCCUUAGCGAUACAAGCCAGGAUGAACUUCUCGUUCCUUGGUUUGGUCCCUAUACGUGGAUACAAAUCAAAAGUGUCAUAGGUAUGAAGACCUCGUAAAAAAAUGUUUUGG